RNAcentral lists this long non-coding RNA (3055 nucleotides) under Nicotiana tabacum (common tobacco). RNAcentral's name for it is "long non-coding RNA (NTAB_LNC018761)". Lineage: Eukaryota; Viridiplantae; Streptophyta; Magnoliopsida; Solanales; Solanaceae. The record is from RNAcentral.
AAAAGCCUAGACCUAGACACUCUACAAUCAGCGAAAAAACACAAAAAAGAGAGAGGUAUUCGCCGUUCUUGGCAAAAAUAUCGAACCCGAUCCCCUUUACUUUUAGUCGGCUUCAUUCCCUUUUCCAAAGAACCAAAAAAAGCUUAAGAUUGAUAAAACCUAGCAGCCGAAAAGGACAACAAAAAAAUCAGACGCUAGACCUAUACACUAAAGAGAGUAGCGCCGUUUUCCUGAGAGACAAAAAAAAUCAGCCGAUUGAAGAAUAACGUGUAAUGCCUCAUUCGUGGAUACAAAGCAGACGUCUCCAUCUAUUGUCUUUGUUGACAUUUGCUGUAUACUUUUUCUUCCUAUUAUCAUUCUUGGGAAAAGAAAGAGAAGGUGGUUGCGAAAAGCAACAGGAAUUCAACCUAAGUUUCCUUACAUGGUUGACUCAUUUGAAAAGAGGAGCGCAACUUCUUUCCAGAGAGCAUGCAAGAUUUCGAUUUUUUUUAAUAAAUCUCAGUUGGAUUGAGUUUGAGAUUCUCAUUGUCAUCCUCUUUUUCGCAUGCCGAUGUCAAUUUGAGGUUCCGGUUCGCAAUUUGGCGUUUCAAUUCAAGGAUUGUUGCUUUGUUUAGCCCGAUUGACUUGCAAUUUUCAGCUUUGUUCACCAAUAAAAGGUCUAUUUCUAAAUUUUUAUUCUCAUUUUAGUGUGUUACGAUAGCUCCGUGCACGUGUUGGUUGAUUUUGUUUCUAAGUUAUUUGAGUGGCACGUCUUAGUUUUUAAUUAAAUUGCUUUAAUUAGUUUUUAUUUUGAUUGUGAUGUGCGUAGUCUUGACUCUUGAAUAAAUGCUUUUAAUUGAGUAGACGGAAAAAUUGGAGUUUCUUUCUUGGUAAGAAAUAAGAAUGGGCCAUAAGGUAGGUUUUGAACCAUAAGGAAUCUGGCCAAGUAAUAGAUCAUAUCAGCUAGCCUAUUUGCUCCCCAAUAAUAUCUUGUCCAUAAAUGUGGCACCACAAAAAUCUCAAAGAUUAGGAAAAUAAUUCAAAUGCUCUAGUUGCUUUAAGCGCAAUUAAAUAAAUCAUCGUGACAACGGGUACGGUUCCCGUGGCAGAGUCAUGAUACGUAGAUCUCAAUUCGGGUGUGCAUUUCAUGUGACCCUACCAUAAUUAUGAAUAAUAAUAACCAAAUACGCAUGUUAUAAAUUUGGGUGUGCAUUUCAUGUGACCCGUUUCCAAUAAUGUUAAAUAAAAUAAACAUGUCGUAAACCGUGGGUUCAUUUCAUGUAGCGUGGUUUACAAUGUGUUUUCAAAAAUAAACAAGUGUAGAACGAUCUUGAAUUUUCUUAAAAACUUUAAAGCGGUUAGAAAGUUAAAAACGCACGUAGGUUUAAAAUGUGUAAUUAAUAAUUUAAUUAGGCCAAAUAUUGAUAAUUUAAGCGACCGUGCUAGAACCACGGAACUCGGGAAUGCCUCACACCUUUUCCCGAGUUAACAGAAUUCCUUACCCGGUCUUCUGGUUUUGCAGACUUUAAAUGGAGUCAAAUUUCUUCGAUUUGGGAUUUAAAAUAAAUCGGUGACUUGGGAUACCAUAAACUAUUCCAAGUGGCAAUUCUGAAAAAUAAAUAAAUAAUCCCAUUUCGAUUUAUGUCACUUUAAUUGAAAAAACUCCUUUAUAUCCGCCCUUCCGAGGGUAGUGAAAAGGAGGCGUGACAGCUCUGGCAAAUCUGUUGGGGAUAAGAACCCAGAACUUCUGGUUCAAGGUUCAAAAUUCGAGCUUAGAAUAUCUGUUAUAAUUGGCUUUAUUUAUUAUCUAAUUUUUUAUAUGUUUGAACCUAAUGUGCUAAAUGCCACUUUUUUACCGCCUUGAUAUUAUUUGAACUGUAUAUAAAUUGUUACAAAACUCUCCUCUCUCUGAGUCUUCUAAAUCAUCUGGGAAGUAUGCACUUCGUGUGAUUUCUUUUCUGUUAGAGCCAUAUCCCAAUUUUGGAAUGAGGUUCGGACAAGUUGCAAAGCCGGUGAAGCUUCUGUUUUCCCGGUACGCUGCCCCCCAGCUCGAGCUGUCCGCUCGGGUAAGCCAGGUCUAGAACAAAUAAACCCAGGUUUUUAUGCCUAGAAUAACAUAGCCUCAUACCGGAUCCCUAGUAGGAACGCUUGUUUGCAUCACGUACAUCUGACUUUGGGGACUCAACACAGGGGUUGGGUCCAUCUAGGACAGGUGUACCCCAAAAAUAAAAGACCACCCUGAUGCAUUUUAUGUGUUAUAUUUUGCAAUUUUCAAGGGUAAAAGGGUCAUUUGGCGGACCAAUGAUGGCUGAGGAUAAAUGAGAAAAAAAUAGGGUGAAGUGUAAAAUAAAGCAAGUAGGGCCCAGUUAUAAUUUUCUUUCACGCUUUUUCAAGAAAAGACAAAAAAAAAAUGAAAAUGAAAAAAAUCCAAAAAGAUUUGCACUCUCCCAUUAUUUUUUUUCAAAAAAAAAAUCAGAAAAAGGGGAAAAAAAAAUCCAAAAACAGUUUAAAUAUUUCAUCAUUUUUCAAAACAAAAGAGAAAAAAUAUGUUUUCUCUAAAUUAGUUGUUUUUUUAAUUCUCGCCCGUAUUCAAUCUGCCCGAACUAUGCAUACCUGAUUCUCGUCUUUCGGGGCGUGAUACGUAGGCAUCCCACAUAGGGUCCGGUUUUCCUAGUAAGUUUUAGGUUCUUGGCUUCGCGAGGUCUUAGCCAAAUCUUGCAUUUUUAGCCACAUAGGUUAAUUUUAGAAAAAUAGUUACAACCAUGUCUUGCAUGUGUCUAGUAGGGAAUGUUAUUGUCUCACAUAGUGUUGGUUUCGGUUUUCUCAUACAGGUGUGGAUCUACUUACCAGAGUUUGAGCAUGACAGAGCCCCAGGACCAUCUAGUCAGGAUCGCACAUUCAGGAGUGGAUUAAAAGGAGUUUUUCUUUUCUUUUUAAUGCUUUGAGUCUAUUGUUCUUUUUAUGUCGUCUUUUAACUUCUAAUUUUGUACAGUAAUGUCGAGUGUUUUUAAUAUAUUUCCUAUUUUGUAUUGAAAAAAGAUGUGUAAUAAAUCAAAAAUCAAAAAACAAAAAAUUU